GACGGUCUUGCUGUCACUUAUAGAUGGAUCCGCGCUGCAUUAGCUAGUUGGUAAGGUAACGGCUUACCAAGGCAACGAUGCAUAGCCGACCUGAGAGGGUGAUCGGCCACACUGGAACUGAGACACGGUCCAGACUCCUACGGGAGGCAGCAGUAGGGAAUCUUCCGCAAUGGGCGAAAGCCUGACGGAGCAACGCCGCGUGAGUGAUGAAGGUCUUCGGAUCGUAAAACUCUGUUAUUAGGGAAGAACAUAUGUGUAAGUAACUGUGCACAUCUUGACGGUACCUAAUCAGAAAGCCACGGCUAACUACGUGCCAGCAGCCGCGGUAAUACGUAGGUGGCAAGCGUUAUCCGGAAUUAUUGGGCGUAAAGCGCGCGUAGGCGGUUUUUUAAGUCUGAUGUGAAAGCCCACGGCUCAACCGUGGAGGGUCAUUGGAAACUGGAAAACUUGAGUGCAGAAGAGGAAAGUGGAAUUCCAUGUGUAGCGGUGAAAUGCGCAGAGAUAUGGAGGAACACCAGUGGCGAAGGCGACUUUCUGGUCUGUAACUGACGCUGAUGUGCGAAAGCGUGGGGAUC
Molecule: ribosomal RNA, 575 nt
Filed under: Staphylococcus aureus
Lineage: Bacteria; Bacillati; Bacillota; Bacilli; Caryophanales; Staphylococcaceae
Description: bacterial SSU rRNA
Rfam family: Bacterial small subunit ribosomal RNA
Source: RNAcentral